This 771-nucleotide long non-coding RNA is filed under the name Homo sapiens (human). Its description in RNAcentral is "HSALNT0358257". The record is from RNAcentral. Lineage: Eukaryota; Metazoa; Chordata; Mammalia; Primates; Hominidae.
UUUUCCUCUAUCCCCACAGCAGAACCAAUGCUAAGGCCAUAAUUUUAAUCAGAGUUUAAUGAAAGGGUAAGGAUCAUGAAUGAGAAUUACAGAACAGAGAGGAAAGUAAAACUUCUGGCCAAGCUUGGGGCUUCUCAUCAAUUUCAUCCAAUAUUUUCCUAACAACUGUUUCAGGGCUCUUGUGCACUUAGAAUUUGAAUACAUUUAUUCUAUUGCCCAGAAAUAGAAGCUUCUCUUCUUCAUAUAAUAUCCCUUUGAUGAGAUUUAUUCCUUAUUCCAGUAUUAAUCUUCCUAGGUUGACUGACACUGAGAACAUUAAUUCUUCUCAGUGGGGUGGUGGCCUCCAAUGGGAGAAAUCAACAAUUCUCUUUCUCCUAUGUGUGUAUGCCUUUGCACCUAUGGUGAAGGGGAGCCUGUUUCUCCACCCUUCCAUCACAAAUCUGAGCGGGCCUGUGACUUGCCUUGAUUAAUACAAUGUGGCAGAAGUAAGGCUCUGUCAGUUCCUGGGCUAGUUAUCAAGAAAGAGACCUUGAAACUUCUGAUUUCUUUAAAACCAGCACUGUAUAGGAUGUCUGAUUACCGUGAGAGCAUGAGCUGUGCUGAAUCUCCAGCUAGCCACAAUGAAAAGCCUUUUGGAGAGAGAAUGUCCAGUCAACCUCCCAGCUGUUCCAGCCUUUCCAACAGAGGUAUCAAACAGGUGAUAUGAGUCUGACAUAUGCACUGAAACAUCAACAGGUCUUGCUAUGUCAACUAUGCAGGAGUGCAGUGGCA